RNAcentral lists this ribosomal RNA (301 nucleotides) under uncultured bacterium. RNAcentral describes it as "partial 16S ribosomal RNA". It matches the Rfam family "Bacterial small subunit ribosomal RNA", at positions 509 to 807 of the family's 1533-position model. The record is from RNAcentral.
CAGCCGCCGCGGUAAUACGUAGGUAGCAAGCGUUGUCCGGAAUUAUUGGGCGUAAAGGGCUCGCAGGCGGUUUCUUAAGUCUGAUGUGAAAGCCCCCGGCUCAACCGGGGAGGGUCAUUGGAAACUGGGAAACUUGAGUGCAGAAGAGGAGAGUGGAAUUCCACGUGUAGCGGUGAAAUGCGUAGAGAUGUGGAGGAACACCAGUGGCGAAGGCGACUCUCUGGUCUGUAACUGACGCUGAGGAGCGAAAGCGUGGGGAGCGAACAGGAUUAGAUACCCCUGUAGUCCCUGUCUCUUAUAC